Small nucleolar RNA from Folsomia candida, 64 nucleotides. Lineage: Eukaryota; Metazoa; Arthropoda; Collembola; Entomobryomorpha; Isotomidae. The record is from Rfam.
CUUAAAAGUGAUGAUUAGCAUUACCGCCCCAGUCUGAUCUAUCAUGAGUGACUGGUUGGGUAUU